GCCUGGCUGGCUCAGUCAGUAGAGCAUGUGACUCUUGAUCUCAGGUUCAUGAAUUCAAACCCCAUGUUAGGGU
This 73-nucleotide transfer RNA is filed under the name Mustela putorius furo (domestic ferret). It matches the Rfam family "tRNA". From Rfam's summary of the family: Transfer RNA (tRNA) molecules are approximately 80 nucleotides in length. Lineage: Eukaryota; Metazoa; Chordata; Mammalia; Carnivora; Mustelidae. The record is from Rfam by way of RNAcentral.